Molecule: long non-coding RNA, 262 nt
Filed under: Panax ginseng (ginseng)
Lineage: Eukaryota; Viridiplantae; Streptophyta; Magnoliopsida; Apiales; Araliaceae
Description: long non-coding RNA (PGIN_LNC009052)
Source: RNAcentral
GCCCCGCAAGUUUAAAUACAACAAUAUAAGGAUAUAUCAUGAUUGAAGAGUAUGAAUAAUGAGCUGGCUAUAAUUCAUCAAUAUAAUUGAGAACUAGCAGGAACAAACUUUUGACUGAACAAGUUUUAAACAUGAACAAACAUUUCUGAACCAACUGGUAAUGAAGGUGAUCAGCCUUUCAUACCUGACUUAUACAUGCAAGAUGUACAGAGUACAAUUUUCAUGGCAAUCAGCAAUGAUUAACCAUAAGCUUGAAUAAAAC